AAGAAGGGAGUUCUUUGUGAGGAGAUGGAAGACCUCCUGGAUAAACUUGAUGAACAGACAUUCAACAUUGUGUCCAACUUGCACUGAGAGGCCUGCCCAUUUUCCUGAAGAGAAGAUGCAACAGAGGUUUUCCUGAAGUGCUUAGACACUGACAUUUUGGAACCAGUGUUGAACGGUGCAUCAGGUGCCAUCCUCACCAUCCUACAAGAUGACGAU
Molecule: long non-coding RNA, 216 nt
Organism: Pelmatolapia mariae (spotted tilapia)
Lineage: Eukaryota; Metazoa; Chordata; Actinopteri; Cichliformes; Cichlidae
Exons: 3
Source: RefSeq, a predicted model, not a curated record